Molecule: non-coding RNA, 484 nt
Organism: Peromyscus maniculatus bairdii (prairie deer mouse)
Lineage: Eukaryota; Metazoa; Chordata; Mammalia; Rodentia; Cricetidae
Source: RefSeq, a predicted model, not a curated record
GGGUAGAGCGGUAAGGCCGGUUUAUAGUCAACCCGCGUUCCCAUAAUGCCUUGUUUUCUUUGGAACCAAAGUACUUAUUAAAGAGACAUCCUGGAACUGACUUGCUAGGUUUUUUGUUCUGUGCCUGCAUCCGUGAAGCGAUCUCCCAGGAGAAUUUCCACAGAAACCCCACGAACAAGUCGUAAACAAGACCCCGCCCAACAAGGGGAAGCUGUGGUCAAAACCUUUAUUCCGGAACUCAGCGCCAUUUCCCGCACCCUGGGCGGGGUUGCCUUCUCUGCUUUGCGAUUCUACAGCGCUUGAGACCCGUGUGAAGAAAAUGAAGGUUUCUGGGAUCUCAAAGCGUCUGGGCACUGUGGGACGCCUUGUAGCUUUCUGCCAAGGCAGAGUCCAGCUGGCGGUCCUGCUGCUGUCCUUGGCGCCAUCUACUUUAGGUAAAUCAUGUGAAACUCCUAAAGAUCCUGAGAAUGGCAUAGUACAUGUA